RNAcentral lists this ribosomal RNA (468 nucleotides) under uncultured bacterium. Its description in RNAcentral is "partial 16S ribosomal RNA". It matches the Rfam family "Bacterial small subunit ribosomal RNA", at positions 28 to 507 of the family's 1533-position model. The record is from RNAcentral.
GACGAACGCUGGCGGCGUGCUUAACACAUGCAAGUCGAACGGAAAGGCCCUGCUUUCGUGGGGUGCUCGAGUGGCGAACGGGUGAGUAACACGUGAGUAACCUGCCCUUGACUUUGGGAUAACUUCAGGAAACUGGGGCUAAUACCGGAUAGGAGCUCCCGCUGCAUGGAGGGGGUGGGAAAGUUUCGGCGGUUGGGGAUGGACUCGCGGCUUAUCAGCUUGUUGGUGGGGUAGUGGCUUACCAAGGCUUUGACGGGUAGCCGGCCUGGGAGGGUGACCGGCCACAUUGGGACUGAGGUACGGCCCAGACUGCUACGGGAGGCAGCAGUGGGGAGUAUUGCACAAUGGGCGGAAGCCUGAUGCAGCAGCGCCGCGUGCGGGAUGACGGCCUUCGGGUUGUAAACCGCUUUCGCCUGUGACGAAGCGUGAGUGACGGUAAUGGGUAAAGAAGCACCGGCUAACUACGUG